GAUGAACGCUGGCGGCGUGCCUAAUACAUGCAAGUCGAGCGAACAGGCGAGGAGCUUGUUCCUCUGACGUUAGCGGCUGACGGGUGAGUAACACGUGGAUAACCUACCUAUAAGACUGGGAUAACUUCGGGAAACCGGAGCUAAUACCGGAUAAUAUAUUGAACCGCAUGGUUCAAUAGUGAAAGACGGUUUUGCUGUCACUUCUAGAUGGAUCCGCGCCGCAUUAGCUAGUUGGUAAGGUAACGGCUUACCAAGGCAACGAUGCGUAGCCGACCUGAGAGGGUGAUCGGCCACACUGGAACUGAGACACGGUCCAGACUCCUACGGGAGGCAGCAGUAGGGAAUCUUCCGCAAUGGGCGAAAGCCUGACGGAGCAACGCCGCGUGAGUGAUGAAGGUCUUCGGAUCGUAAAACUCUGUUAUUAGGGAAGAACAAAUGUGUAAGUAACUAUGCACGUCUUGACGGUACCUAAUCAGAAAGCCACGGCUAACUACGUG
Molecule: ribosomal RNA, 497 nt
Filed under: uncultured bacterium
Lineage: Bacteria
Description: partial 16S ribosomal RNA
Rfam family: Bacterial small subunit ribosomal RNA
Source: RNAcentral